Zonotrichia leucophrys gambelii is the source of this 1164-nucleotide long non-coding RNA. RefSeq lists it as uncharacterized. NCBI's taxonomy places the organism in Eukaryota, Metazoa, Chordata, Aves, Passeriformes, Passerellidae. The record is from RefSeq and is a predicted model, not a curated record. The transcript is spliced from 4 exons.
CGGGACAGCCGCUGGUCAAGCAGUUAGUGUGUAGGGAAAAAUAUAUCUGGGGUUAUGCUCCGCUGGAAGCUUGUACUGAGGAUGUUGGUAGACGACAAAUAGAAUGGCUUGUAAAACAGAACCUGCAGGAAGCUUCUCUGCUAUUUACGCUGUGUCAUAAGGCAAAUUGCACUGCUAUUAACUGGAAAAUCUGGUCUAGCAUACAUGAGGUGCAUUUAGAGUGACAGUUCUGUACCUUGAUCUACACUUAAUGGAACCACUGUGAAUGGAGCAUCUGGUAGAACAAGUUUUCAUGUAAGGACAUGUAAGGACAUAUGAAGAAGAAAUGACAUCCUCUGAUGGCAAACUCAUGCAUGCUUUAUCACGGGCACCUGAUGAAGGAAGUGCUUUCCUGUAGCUCCUGUUUCACAGGUGUAGUGCUGCAUACUUGCUGCCUUUUUAGCAACCAGCUCUCCCAAGCCUGAGGAUACUUUACAAGGAACUCCCAAAGGAGUCUUACAACCACCUCUGCGUAGUGGGAGGAUCCCUUUGGAGCACAUAACCCAAACCCAGGCACAGAAGUCUGAAGGGGACUUUCCUACCAGUUAGAGAACCCAUUGCCCAGUAGGGCCUUAUCCAGUUUUCCCAUUUGCCAUUCAGCUGUUUUUGGAUGUGUGGCCACACACCUACUCCUUCAUCUGUCAGUGCAGAUAGUCUUCAAGGUAUUCAUAAUCUCUGCUAAAAGAGAAUGGAAUAUUGAAGCCCUUGGGAGAUUGUCCUUACUGCACCACAGCAAACAGGAGCUAAGAUAAGGGCUGAGAUGGGAUGCAAGUCAGGAGCACAGAACUGCUCUCCAAAAUACAGGCACUUGGCCUGGAAACUCAGGCUUUGUGGUAUUUCUGAAGAAUUUCUACACCUCUGGAGAUCUGCAGCAGUGCUGUCUGGAGUGUCAUCCAUCCUCCUGCAAAAUCUGUCCAUCCAAGCAUACAGAAGCACUUAGCAAAGCCUUGCUGCUCUUUGUGUUCUUAAAAUAAACAAAUCAAUAGAGAACUCUAAGUAACAUAUCUGAUAGUUGUUGGAGAGGGUAAAGCAGAACACCAUUUGGCAAAAUCUUUCAUGACAUCAUGUUAACAACAGGCAGAUUGACAAUCUGUCCUCCUCUGCAUGGAGUCUCAUUAAUAAAUC